This 3362-nucleotide long non-coding RNA is filed under the name Sus scrofa (pig). RNAcentral's name for it is "lncRNA (ENSSSCG00035036865.1)". The record is from RNAcentral. Lineage: Eukaryota; Metazoa; Chordata; Mammalia; Artiodactyla; Suidae.
CAGUAUCCAAAGAAAAUUAUUAUUAUGAUAAUGAUCCUGUGUGUUCAAAGCAAAAUAUGUAAUUGCAAAUCGUGAUAACACUUUUCAUCCAGUAAGAAUGGUUUCCACAAGGGGCCAUGCAGUGGUCUGUAUUUUCAGAAAAGUUGAAAAUGCUUGGUGGAGUCUAAAGUUCAGCCUUACAAACUGUAUGGCUGCUAUAAUUGGAAACUAACAUUAUUAUCAAAAGCCUUAUAUAAUAUACCAAAAAUCUAUCCGUGUAUGGAAUUAGGCCAAGUAGAGAUUGUCCUUAGGAACUUGCAUUCUAGGUAACUUCAGACGGAGACAUAAAGGUACACAGACAGCAAAAAACUUUGCCUAAAUAUAUUUAACUAGAAUAAUUACAUAAUGAGAUGGUUUAAUGAGUCCCUCUUGGACGGUGAAAGGUAAAUAUUCUGUCCUAGGGUAUUGUAUUGGGCCGAAUUGUUAAUAUGCCUGUCUUUCUAUACCAGACUGACCUCAUAAGGGCAACUGAAAUAAGUACCUAACUAAAUGUGAGAACUUGUGGUUUUUUGUUUAUUCUGCUUCUCUUGAAGAUCACACGGGGCUCCUGAUAGUCUGGAGCCUACCGCUCUGUCUCUCCCCUUUUGACUUGCUCAGGCACAACGUGUUAGGAACGCAUAAUUUCCAGAUCAAUUUCUGUGAACAGAUGGGCGGAGACAUGGCUAAAAUACGAAUGAAGUACGCUGGGGCAAGGAGAAAUGUGUCACUUCUUUUCCACAAAACGGACAGGAUUCAGUAUUUAUUUGCAUAAGGAAAGGAAAGGGGUGUGAUAAACAUGGGGGGACACAGGCCUGAUGAGUAAUGAAGACCAGGCAGCAAAGAACAUCGUUGUUUUGGACACAUUCAAGGUGCUGAUCGGGGCCAAAGAACAUCUAACUGCGUAUGGUAAAGAAAAGCAGAAGAUGUCUGGGGUAGGAAGUAAUUAAAUGCACCAUCUGCUGAGGUCUCUAGUAGACUUUAAAAUGACUUCAGGAUAUGUGUUUUAACCAUCUUAGGCUUAAAUGGUAAAAACAGCUUUCUUUACCAGGCCCUAUUCACAUUUUUUCUAUUUCUGGCUAUUUUUAGGUUUUUAAAGUAUUCAUAUAUUGUGAUAUUGUUUCUUUGUUGGAGCCUUGAGGGGGAUAGUUUUCAUAUAAUUCUUCAUGACAUAGUGAUGACAGCCAUAGUAAAGUUUUUCCUGAAAGUUUUGUAAGCUCUGUAACAGGAAGCCAUGUAUUGUAAAUCUAUCACUUCCUGAGAAGUCAUUCCAGAGAAAACAGUAUUUUUCAGCUGAAUGAACUUUACUUUCACAUUUGUUAUACUUUCUGUACACUCUUGGCUUAAAACGUUCUUUUGGGUUAGUACGUUAUGAGAUUUCCAUUACACGAUUACUUUUGAUUUAACCACCCAUAUUCUUGGUGCAAAUAGGUAAUUGUGAAAUUGAUUCUAUUGAUUCUAUGUUUUCACAUAAGUAUAUUCAGUUUCAAAAAAUAAAAAUGGUUUCCAAAAGAUCCACAAUCCAAAAAUAGUCAAAGGAUAUGAAAAAACUGUUUAAACCAAAUGGUCAAAACACAAAGAUUUAUAAACCUGCGAGACUCAAUUUUACUCAUAAGAAGAGUGCAGCUGGAGUUCCUUGGUGGCCCAGCAGUCAAGGAUCUGGUGUUGUCACUGCUGAGGCUCAUUGUCACUGCUGUGGUUCAGGUUCUAUCCCUGGCCUGGGAACUUCCAUAUGCUGCAAGUACAGCCAAAAAAAUUAAAAUUCAGCUAUAAUAUGAGGUACCAUUUCUUUCAUCCAUCACAUUGGCAAGGAUGAAACAGAUAAAACAUAAUUUUUGUGGAUAUAAGGAAAUAGCUUAUAUAAGGAUAUGGCUACUUUGAUAUGCUGUUGAUAGGAGUGCAUAAAAAUGAAAAAUACACUUGUUCUUGAUACAGUGAAUUCAGUUUUCAGAAUUUACCUCCAGAGGUAUAAGAAUACAAGUUUGCAAAGUAUACUUUGGUAUUCAAUAUAUGUUGCAUCCACUCUAUCUAUUCAUAGGCUGUUUAAAUAAACUUCAGCAUUUCUGUGUGUGUGUAAAAUUAAAAAGCAAAGUAUGAAACAAUGUCUUUAUUGGGUAUUUAUGCUUGUAAAAAUGUAGACACAAUUCUACAAGACAAGAAAUCAGAUCUAGAACAGAAGGGAAGUUUCUUUUCAUUAUAUUUUUGUCAUUCAUUUUGAACUUUUGUUUUUAUCAUGUACAUGUAUUAAUUUGUAAAAAAACAGUAUUAAGUAUUUUUGAAAUACAACUUACACGCUGUAAAAUUUACCAAAGUGUCAGUUCAUCUUUUUUGCACUUUAUUGACAAAGUUGUGUACCUAUCCAUACAACCUAAUUUUAGAACAUAUUCAUCCCCCCCGAAGAAAUCUUAUACCAUGAGCAAAUUUUCCCCAUCACCCCUCACGCCUCUAGCUCUAGACAUCCAUUAUUCUUCUUUCUGUAAAGAGAUUUUUCUGUCCUAAAAUUUCUUAUAAAUGGUAUGAUACAACUUGUGGCCUUUUGUAACUGGCUUCCUUCACUUAAAUCAUGUUUUUUUUGGCUUGUUUUUUCUGUGUUUUUUGCCACAUCCCUAGUAUGAGGAAGUUCUCGGGCCAUGGACUGAACCCGUGCUGUAACAGCAACCCAAGUUACUGCAGUGACAGUGCCAAAUCCUUAAUCUGCUGCAUCACAAAAGAACUCUACUUAAUUUUUUUUUUUGCUUUUUUUCUGGAAGUUCCCAGACUAGGGGUCGAAUUGGACCUAUAGCUGCUGGCCUACGGCACAGCCACAGCAACAUGGGCUCUGAGCCACUUGUGUGACUUAUACCAUAGCUCGUGGCAAAGCCAGAUCCUUAACCCACUGAUUGGGCCAGGGAUCGAAACUGCAUCCUCAUGGAUUACGAGGGGGAUUCAUUUCCACUGAGCCAUGUCGGGAACUCCUAAAUAAUGUUUUUGAAGUUUAUUUAUGUUGUUGUAUACCCUUCAUUACUUUUUGAAUUAAAAAAAUUAAAGUGAAAAUAGCAACUUCAAAAUUACUUAUUGUGUUUAUAUUAUGAAAUGGUUGUGAAAUAGAAAAUUACAGAGAAAUUAUUUUUCGUCAAUAAUUACCAUUUCUUGGGAGUUCGCGUUGCGGCUCAGUGGUUAACGAAUCCAACUAGGAACCAUGAGGUUGCGGGUUUGAUCCCUGGCCUCGUUCAGUGGGUUAAAGAUCCAGCAUUGCCGUGAGCUGUGGUGUAGGUUUCAGACGUGGCUUGGAUCUGGCAUUGCUGUGGCAGUGGCAUAGACUGACAGCUACAGCUCCAAUUCGACCCCUAGCCUGGAAACCUCCGUAU